UUUUUUUUUCAAAUUGUAUCUAUCUAUAAUAUAUUUUUAUUUUAUAGUUUACAAUUGUUAUUAAGUAACGUCCUGCCAAACCCGUCCCGCCAAACCCGUCCCGUAAAAAAACCAUUUAUUUAUAUUAAUGUUGAUCUUAUUUAUGAUAUGUUUAUAAAUCAUUGUCUAUAUAUUUUUGUCGAUGCGGGACGUUGAACCCACACAUUUUUUGCCAAUUGGUUAAUAUAUAUUCAUUUUUAAAAUUUUGAAUCAUAAAAUAUGACGGAAAAAAUUAAGAUUUUUUUAAACUCUA
Molecule: small RNA, 292 nt
Filed under: Arabidopsis thaliana (thale cress)
Lineage: Eukaryota; Viridiplantae; Streptophyta; Magnoliopsida; Brassicales; Brassicaceae
Description: ATSL087660
Source: RNAcentral